This 496-nucleotide ribosomal RNA is filed under the name uncultured bacterium. RNAcentral's name for it is "partial 16S ribosomal RNA". It matches the Rfam family "Bacterial small subunit ribosomal RNA", at positions 29 to 507 of the family's 1533-position model. The record is from RNAcentral.
ACGCACGCUGGCGGCGUGCCUCAUCCCUGCCAGUAGAACGCUGAAGAGAGGAGCUUGCUCUUCUUGGAUGAGUUGCGAACGGGUGAGUAACGCGUAGGUAACCUGCCUUGUAGCGGGGGAUAACUAUUGGAAACGAUAGCUAAUACCGCAUAACAAUGGAUGACACAUGUCAUUUAUUUGAAAGGGGCAAUUGCUCCACUACAAGAUGGACCUGCGUUGUAUUAGCUAGUAGGUGAGGUAACGGCUCACCUAGGCGACGAUACAUAGCCGACCUGAGAGGGUGAUCGGCCACACUGGGACUGAGACACGGCCCAGACUCCUACGGGAGGCAGCAGUAGGGAAUCUUCGGCAAUGGGGGCAACCCUGACCGAGCAACGCCGCGUGAGUGAAGAAGGUUUUCGGAUCGUAAAGCUCUGUUGUAAGUCAAGAACGAGUGUGAGAGUGGAAAGUUCACACUGUGACGGUAGCUUACCAGAAAGGGACGGCUAACUACGUG